UACGGGGGGGGCAAGCGUUGUUCGGAAUUACUGGGCGUAAAGGGUUUGUAGGUGGCUUGCUAAGUCAGACGUGAAAUCCCUCAGCUUAACUGGGGAACUGCGUCUGAGACUGGUGAGCUUGAGUGCAGGAGAGGAACGCGGAAUUCCAGGUGUAGCGGUGAAAUGCGUAGAUAUCUGGAGGAACACCGGUGGCGAAGGCGGCGUUCUGGACUGCAACUGACACUGAGGAACGAAAGCCAGGGGAGCAAACGGG
This 253-nucleotide ribosomal RNA is filed under the name uncultured bacterium. RNAcentral's name for it is "partial 16S ribosomal RNA". It matches the Rfam family "Bacterial small subunit ribosomal RNA", at positions 524 to 776 of the family's 1533-position model. The record is from RNAcentral.